UACGGGGGGAGCAAGCGUUGUUCGGAUUUACUGGGCGUAAAGGGCGCGUAGGCGGUCAGCACAAGUCAGUUGUGAAAUCUCCGGGCUUAACCUGGGAACUGCGUCCGAUACUGGCAGGCUUGAAUCCGAGAGAGGGACGUGGAAUUCCGGGUGUAGUGGUGAAAUGCGUAGAGAUCCGGAGGAACCCCAGAGGCGAAGGCGGCGUCCUGGCUCGCAUCUGACGCUCAGACACGACAGCAUGGGGAGCGAACGGG
Molecule: ribosomal RNA, 254 nt
Filed under: uncultured bacterium
Lineage: Bacteria
Description: partial 16S ribosomal RNA
Rfam family: Bacterial small subunit ribosomal RNA
Source: RNAcentral